GACGAACGCUGGCGGCGUGCUUAACACAUGCAAGUCGAACGGAAAGGCCCUGCUUUUGUGGGGUGCUCGAGUGGCGAACGGGUGAGUAACACGUGAGUAACCUGCCCUUGACUUUGGGAUAACUUCAGGAAACUGGGGCUAAUACCGGAUAGGAGCUCCUGCUGCAUGGUGGGGGUUGGAAAGUUUCGGCGGUUGGGGAUGGACUCGCGGCUUAUCAGCUUGUUGGUGGGGUAGUGGCUUACCAAGGCUUUGACGGGUAGCAGGCCUGAGAGGGUGACCGGCCACAUUGGGACUGAGAUACGGCCCAGACUCGUACGGGAGGCAGCAGUGGGGAAUAUUGCACAAUGGGCGGAAGCCUGAUGCAGCAACGCCGCGUGCGGGAUGACGGCCUUCGGGUUGUAAACCGCUUUCGCCUGUGACGAAGCGUGAGUGACGGUAAUGGGUAAAGAAGCACCGGCUAACUACGUG
RNAcentral lists this ribosomal RNA (468 nucleotides) under uncultured bacterium. Its description in RNAcentral is "partial 16S ribosomal RNA". It matches the Rfam family "Bacterial small subunit ribosomal RNA", at positions 28 to 507 of the family's 1533-position model. The record is from RNAcentral.